UACGUAUGUAGCGAGCGUUAUCCGGAAUUAUUGGGCGUAAAGGGCGUGUAGGUGGCUUGGUGAGUUUAAGGUGAAAGCGCGGGGCUCAACCCCGUAAUGCGUUAGAUACUGGCAAGCUAGAGUACUGGAGAGGGUGGCGGAACUCCAAGUGUAGAGGUGAAAUGCGUAGAUAUAUGGAGGAACACCGGUGGCGAAGGCGGCUCACUGGACAGAGACUGACGCUGAUGCGCGAAAGCGUGGGGAGCAAACAGG
This 252-nucleotide ribosomal RNA is filed under the name uncultured bacterium. RNAcentral's name for it is "partial 16S ribosomal RNA". It matches the Rfam family "Bacterial small subunit ribosomal RNA", at positions 524 to 776 of the family's 1533-position model. The record is from RNAcentral.